This 292-nucleotide ribosomal RNA is filed under the name uncultured bacterium. RNAcentral's name for it is "partial 16S ribosomal RNA". The record is from RNAcentral.
GGACUACCCGGGUUUCUAAUCCUGUUUGCUCCCCUUGCUUUCGCGCCUCAGCGUCAGUGUCAGCCUAGAAAACCGUCUUCACCACCGGUGUUCUUCCACAUAUCUACGCAUUUCACCGCUACACGUGGAAUUCCGUUUUCCCUAACUGAACUCUAGUCAGAGAGUUUCAAAUGCAGCUCCGGGGUUGAGCCCCGGAAUUUCACAUCUGACUUUCCUAACCGCCUACGCGCCCUUUACGCCCAGUAAUUCCGAUCAAUGCUUGCACCCUCCGUAUUACCGCGGCGGCUGGCAC